This 490-nucleotide ribosomal RNA is filed under the name uncultured bacterium. RNAcentral's name for it is "partial 16S ribosomal RNA". It matches the Rfam family "Bacterial small subunit ribosomal RNA", at positions 29 to 507 of the family's 1533-position model. The record is from RNAcentral.
AUUGAACGCUGGCGGCAUGCCUUACACAUGCAAGUCGAACGGCAGCAUGAUCUAGCGUGCUAGAUUGAUGGCGAGUGGCGGACGGGUGAGUAAUACAUCGGAACGUGCCCUGUAGUGGGGGAGAACUAGUCGAAAGAUGAGCUAGUACCGCAGACGACCUGAGGGUGAAAGUGGGGGACCGCAAGGCCUCAUGCUAUAGGAGCGGCCGAUGUCUGAGUGGCUAGUUGGUGAGGUAAAGGCACACCAAGGCGACGAACAGGAGCUGGUCUGAGAGGAAGAUUAGCCACACUGGGACUGAGACACGGCCCCGACUCCUACGGGAGGCAGCAGUGGGGAAUUUUGGACAAGGGGCGAAAGCCUGAUCCAGCAAUGCCGCGUGUGUCAAGAACGCCUUCGGCUUGUAAAGCACUUUUGUCCGGAAAGAAAUGGCUCUGGUUAAUACCUGGGGUCGAUGACGGUACCGGAAGAAUAAGGACCGGCUAACUCCGUG